CAGUCGCCGCGGUAAUACGUAGGUGGCAAGCGUUGUCCGGAAUUAUUGGGCGUAAAGGGCUCGCAGGCGGUUUCUUAAGUCUGAUGUGAAAGCCCCCGGCUCAACCGAGGAGGGUCAUUGGAAACUGGGAAACUUGAGUACAGAAGAGGAGAGUGGAAUUCCACGUGUAGCGGUGAAAUGCGUAGAGAUGUGGAGGAACACCAGUGGCGAAGGCGACUCUCUGGUCUGUAACUGACGCCGAGGAGCGAAAGCGUGGGGAGCGAACAGGAUUAGAUACCCCCGUAGUCCCUGUCUCUUAUAC
This 301-nucleotide ribosomal RNA is filed under the name uncultured bacterium. RNAcentral's name for it is "partial 16S ribosomal RNA". It matches the Rfam family "Bacterial small subunit ribosomal RNA", at positions 509 to 807 of the family's 1533-position model. The record is from RNAcentral.